Molecule: ribosomal RNA, 732 nt
Filed under: Maxillaria discolor
Lineage: Eukaryota; Viridiplantae; Streptophyta; Magnoliopsida; Asparagales; Orchidaceae
Description: eukaryotic LSU rRNA
Rfam family: 5.8S ribosomal RNA (bases 280-435)
Source: RNAcentral
GAGGAAGGAGAAGUCGUAACAAGGUUUCCGUAGGUGAACCUGCGGAAGGAUCAUUGUCGAGACCGAAAUAUACAUCGAGCGAUUCAGAGAACCCGUGAAAAUGAGCCGACGACCGUCCUGGCUGUUGCCCCCGUCUCCUCCUCGCGUGGAGGGGGGCGCGGCAGAGGAAGGAUGAAAAACAAAUCGGCGCAGCAUCGCGCCAAGGGAAGAUUGAAAGGCACGAGCCCCGCGUCGGGCUCGGUGGCGUGGGGUGCUUUGGCACACCAUGCGGAUGGACAUGACUCUCGGCAAUGGAUAUCUCGGCUCUCGCAUCGAUGAAGAGCGCAGCGAAAUGCGAUACGUGGUGCGAAUUGCAGAAUCCCGCGAACCAUCGAGUCUUUGAACGCAAGUUGCGCCCGAGGCCAGCCGGCUAAGGGCACGUCCGCCUGGGCGUCAAGCGUUGCAUCACUCCGUGCCGCCUUCGUCCCGCCAGUGGGCUCGUCGGUCGAGGCUUGGAUGUGCAGAGUGGCUCGUCGUGCCUGUUGGUGCGGCGGGUUGAAGAGCGGGUUGUCCCGUCGGCCGCGAACAACAAGGGAUGGGUGAAAGCUGUGAGCGCAGCCUGCGUUGUCUCGUGCCGGCCUGAGAGACGGGUUGAGCCUUCGAUGUGAUCCCAGCCCAUGGGCCGAACGGCAUGCCGCGGCUUGGAAUGUGACCCCAGGAUGGGCGAGGCCACCCGCCGAGUUUAAGCAUAUC